ACGUCUUCGAAAGCCACGUCUCCUCCCACACCACAAACUUGCCCGUUUGGAAUUUGCAAGGGAGCACCAAACA
Molecule: non-coding RNA, 73 nt
Organism: Pangasianodon gigas (Mekong giant catfish)
Lineage: Eukaryota; Metazoa; Chordata; Actinopteri; Siluriformes; Pangasiidae
Source: the annotation of a GenBank genome assembly